Molecule: regulatory RNA element, 59 nt
Organism: Streptomyces sp. Ncost-T10-10d
Lineage: Bacteria; Bacillati; Actinomycetota; Actinomycetes; Kitasatosporales; Streptomycetaceae
Rfam family: msiK RNA
Source: Rfam
CCAGACCACUCCCUUACUCGGAUCGUCCGGCACGUUCCUGCCGGUGAAGGAGAAGAUUC